RNAcentral lists this long non-coding RNA (492 nucleotides) under Olea europaea subsp. europaea. Lineage: Eukaryota; Viridiplantae; Streptophyta; Magnoliopsida; Lamiales; Oleaceae. The record is from RNAcentral.
CUUUGCUAACUAACUGUGGAAUACUCUAAAAUAGUGAAUGAAUAACAAACUUGUAUUGAAAUAUUAUUAGAGGCGGGGGUCUAUCAUUACCCCCGCCCCAAAAAUCACCUUGUCCUCAAGGUUGAAGUCUGGGAAAAUUACCAAUUGCAGCUUACAAUAUAGCCGAACAAUUUCCUACGCAAUAUUCCCAGGUACAGUCAAAGUGCCUGAGAAGCAUUUUGUUCUUCAGUUUUACUUGAUAUGAGGCAUCCUUGUUGAAUUCACUUCCUUUCUCCAACUCAAGAGCCCUUUCCGUAUGAGAAGGAACAUGUGUAGUCCGAAUAUAUUUCUCAAUCGGGCGAUAGUCUUCACUAUCAUGCGGGAGAGGUUUGCUUCUUGUACUUCUCAUCGAUUGAUUCAUCAUUAUUCAUGUCAAAACCAACUACUCUUGAAGCUAUUUCAAUGUCCUGGGGUGCUUCCAGCAUUUGCACCUUCAAAAAGUCUUCCUCAUCU